This 1078-nucleotide ribosomal RNA is filed under the name Gammaproteobacteria bacterium. RNAcentral's name for it is "bacterial SSU rRNA". It matches the Rfam family "Bacterial small subunit ribosomal RNA", at positions 1 to 1068 of the family's 1533-position model. The record is from RNAcentral. Lineage: Bacteria; Pseudomonadati; Pseudomonadota; Gammaproteobacteria.
UAAACUGAAGAGUUUGAUCAUGGCUCAGAUUGAACGCUGGCGGCAGGCUUCAGACAUGCAAGUCGAGCGGAAACGACAAAGGUUUACCUUUGGGCGUCGUGAGGCGUACUGGGGAGUAACGCGUAGUAAUCUGCCCUAUUGCGGGGGAUAGCCCGGGGAAACCCGGAUUAAUACCGCAUACACCCCACGGGGGAAAGGCCGGGAUCUUCGGACCGGUCGCUAUCGGAGGAGCCUGCGUUGGAUUAGCUUGUUGGUAGGGUAACGGCCUACCAAGGCCACGAUCCAUAGCUGGUCUGAGAGGAUGAUCAGCCACACUGGAACUGAGACACGGUCCAGACUUCUACGGGAGGCAGCAGUCGGGAAUAUUGGACAAUGGGGGAAACCCUGAUCCAGCCAUGCCGCGUGUGUGAAGAAGGCCUUCGGGUUGUAAAGCACUUUCAGUAGUGAGGAAGGGACCUGGGUGAAUAUCCCGGGUUCUUGACGUUAGCUACAGAAGCAGCACCGGCUAACUCCGUGCCAGCAGCCGCGGUAAUACGGAGGGUGCGAGCGUUAAUCGGAAUUACUGGGCGUAAAGCGCGCGCAGGCGGUUCGGUAAGUCAGAUGUGAAAUCCCCGGGCUUAACCUGGGAAUUGCAUUUGAUACUGCCGAACUAGAGUAUGGGAGAGGGAAGUGGAAUCUCCGGUGUAGCGGUGAAAUGCGUAGAGAUCGGAGGGAACACCAGUGGCGAAGGCGGCUUCCUGGCCCAAUACUGACGCUCAGGCGCGAAAGCGUGGGGAGCAAACAGGAUUAGAUACCCUGGUAGUCCACGCCGUAAACGAUGGGCACUAGGUGCCGGUCCUAUAGACGGGUUCGGUGCCGCAGCUAACGCAUUAAGUGCCCCGCCUGGGGACUACGGCCGCAAGGCUGAAACUCAAAGGAAUUGACGGGGGCCCGCACAAGCGGUGGAGCAUGUGGUUUAAUUCGACGCAACGCGAAAAACCUUACCUGGCCUUGACAUCCCCGGAACCUGCCAGAGAUGGCGGGGUGCCUUCGGGAACCGGGUGACAGGUGCUGCAUGGCUGUCGUCAGCUCGUGUCGU